AUGCCUAGCGGAUGUGCUGACUGUGGAGUGCUUAGCAUUCUCCAGCGCCUGUACUGGCCGAAGAUUUCUGGCCUUGGGGAACAUCGCCUUUCAACCAUCCAGGUUCAUUGUGCGCGUUUUCGCUGGGCACGAGACUACCAGCGGCAGUUUUCGGGGACGCUUGACAGCUUCAAUGGCGUUUCACGAACCAUCCGAGUGCUUCGAAGUAUCCGUGUAGCAGCGUUCGAUUACCACUCAGUUCGAUCGUCACUCAUUUCAAGACCAUUGAAAUGAUAGUAUGACAGCGGUAUAAGACGUUUACGUCAUCUGCUUUGUGCCGUUCUAUUCAUUUGAGGCGUACUUGCUGCACUCCAACUGAAAAAAAAAAAAAAGUAAUUGCUUUAUCAUUUAAAUUUUAUUUUAUUUUA
Long non-coding RNA from Ornithodoros turicata, 407 nucleotides. RefSeq lists it as uncharacterized. The transcript has 2 exons. The record is from RefSeq and is a predicted model, not a curated record. NCBI's taxonomy places the organism in Eukaryota, Metazoa, Arthropoda, Arachnida, Ixodida, Argasidae.